Molecule: long non-coding RNA, 456 nt
Filed under: Equus caballus (horse)
Lineage: Eukaryota; Metazoa; Chordata; Mammalia; Perissodactyla; Equidae
Description: lncRNA (ENSECAG00000045579.1)
Source: RNAcentral
GGCAUGGCUGGUGGCUGUGGUUCUCAGUUUUGGAUGGUGCUGUGAACUCGGCCCUGAGCCAUAAUUUACGGACAGGAACCUCCAGGAGGAGCAUGACGCAUCUUCUUGAAGAUUAAUUUAUUUGAAGGAGCAAAACAAAAAUGAAAACAAAAACAAAAGAAAUUAGAAUGUCUGCUGCAUAAUUUGUGAAAGCCCAUAAAGAGCAAAAGUUUUUGGGUCGGCUCCGUGGCGGAGUGAUUAAGUCCGCAUGCUCCGCGUCAGUGGCCUGGGGUUCACCAGUUCGGAUCCUGGACGCAGACCUACACGCUGCUCAUCAGGCGAUGCUGUGGUGGCAUCCCACAUGGAAGAACUAGAAGGACUUACAACUAGGAUAUACAACUAUGUGCUGGGGCUUUGGGGAGAAAAAGAAAGGGAGAUUGGCAACAGCUGUUGGCUCAGGGCCAAUCUUCUUCACCA